This 382-nucleotide long non-coding RNA is filed under the name Bos indicus x Bos taurus (hybrid cattle). RNAcentral's name for it is "lncRNA (ENSBIXG00000004666.1)". The record is from RNAcentral. Lineage: Eukaryota; Metazoa; Chordata; Mammalia; Artiodactyla; Bovidae.
UGUCAGGAAUGGGUCGGCUGGAAAGCUUAGGACAAAAAGCCCAAGAGGAUGUAUUAAUAACUUGUCUAAACAGAGAUGUCAAAGGCCCUGGAGGGUCACCUGUAGGCUGGGUUAUUUGCCAAAGCAGAGGAGGCAAAUGCUGGAGACUGAGGGGCCUGUGAAGUGGAAGAGGCAGACACCUCCCCUGGGUGGAGCCCUCUCAACCCCAAGAGUCUCUCGGAAUGGAGGACUGAGCCUGACUGGAGGACGGAAUUCCUACACAGAUCUUCCAAUCCAGGACUAUAUCCUCCGGAAUGAAACAGCUCCAAGUGCAGAGUGCCUUUAAAGACAUUCCAGUUCAAUUCACUCAUUUAUUGGGACCCAGAGAGAGGGUGUGCAUUGC